Molecule: long non-coding RNA, 480 nt
Organism: Papilio xuthus (Asian swallowtail)
Lineage: Eukaryota; Metazoa; Arthropoda; Insecta; Lepidoptera; Papilionidae
Exons: 2
Source: RefSeq, a predicted model, not a curated record
CCAAUUUAUAUUGCUCACUGUGGAAUCAUGUCCAUAAUGCCCACACUAAAGAAUAAACCUCACAAUCGAAUCGUAUAAUUAAUACAUCAUGAGUAGAAAUAAUCGAUUAGUGUUGCACAAAAAAAUAACGAAAUUACGAUUGGAAAUCUUCAUUAAAGACAGUGGCGAAGUAUUAAAAAUCAAUAUUUUGCGUUUAUUGUAGUCAUGCCAAAAUAUCAUCAUAUUAUCAUAGUUUUAUUGACAUUAGCACAACUAUGUUUCACUGCGACUAUUCUUCGAAGAAAUGGCGAAGUACCAAAGAAUUGUGAGCCGCCAGAAAAGCCAAUAUGUGCUUAUUAUUUCUAUCCAUAUUAUUAUUACUAUCCAGUUAUGUAUCCAUAUUACUAUUAUUAUUAUCCAGCUUACAUAUACGGAUAGAAAAAUUCUAUAAAACAAAACAGAUUAUUAAUAUUGUUUAAAAUAAAUUCAUCCUGUAUUCAA